GACGAACGCUGGCGGCGUGCUUAACACAUGCAAGUCGAACGGAAAGGCCCUGCUUUUGUGGGGUGCUCGAGUGGCGAACGGGUGAGUAACACGUGAGUAACCUGCCCUUGACUUUGGGAUAACUUCAGGAAACUGGGGCUAAUACCGGAUAGGAGCUCCUGCUGCAUGGUGGGGGUUGGAAAGUUUCGGCGGUUGGGGAUGGACUCGCGGCUUAUCAGCUUGUUGGUGGGGUAGUGGCUUACCAAGGCUUUGACGGGUAGCCGGCCUGAGAGGGUGACCGGCCACAUUGGGCCUGAGAUACGGCCCAGACUCCUACGGGAGGCAGCAGUGGGAAAUAUUGCACAAUGGGCGGAAGCCUGAUGCAGCAACGCCGCGUGCGGGAUGACGGCCUUCGGGUUGUAAACCGCUUUCGCCCGUGACGAAGCGUGAGUGACGGUAAUGGGUAAAGAAGCACCGGCUAACUACGUG
This 468-nucleotide ribosomal RNA is filed under the name uncultured bacterium. Its description in RNAcentral is "partial 16S ribosomal RNA". It matches the Rfam family "Bacterial small subunit ribosomal RNA", at positions 28 to 507 of the family's 1533-position model. The record is from RNAcentral.